This 839-nucleotide long non-coding RNA is filed under the name Mytilus galloprovincialis (Mediterranean mussel). Lineage: Eukaryota; Metazoa; Mollusca; Bivalvia; Mytilida; Mytilidae. The record is from RNAcentral.
AUUGUGACAAAAAUGCAGUUUAGGCAUAAGACAACAUUUGUAAUUUAUCGUUGUAUUAUUAUCUAUCAUUAAUUAUCCGUUUGAACAAUGCGUUAACGAAAAAUACAUAUAAAAUCAGUCUUUUAUCCUUGGUUGUUAUGAGACGCGUUAAUUGUUGCUAGGGUGCUCUCUUCGAGGUCCGCGCUCUUGGUAUAUAAAGACACCGAUUCAUUGCAAGUCGGUCAUUUAUUAUUUGGCUGUCAACGAAUAAUAAUCGCUCCUAAAAGUAAUACCAGAAAUUAAAGAAUAAGAAUUUGAAGCUGGAAAGUAAGUUUGUAAACGUAGUUGAGUUGAAAACGUUGUGUUUUUGAAGCAAGCGGUUUUUAAAGUCUUUACGAUUGUUGCAAGCUACCGGGUUGUUCCGAUACUGUAAUUUCCCUCGGGAAUGGUCGCAGUCCCUCGAACAGGUGGUCUGUAAUAGUCUGGUGACUUUUGUGCUUCGGAGACUAAGUAUUACAAUUAUUGCAAGCUACCGCGUUGUUCCGAAACUGUAAUUUCCCUCGGGAAUGGUCGCAGUCCCUCGAACAGAUAGCUUGUAAUAAUCUGGUGACUUAGGUGCUCCGGAGAUUAGGUGCUUCAAAACUAGUUGUCUCAGGAACUAGGUGCUUCAGAGACUAGUCAUUUCAGGACUAGGUGUUUUAGAGACUGGGUGUCUCAGGACUAAGUGUUUCAGGAACCUAGGAUUUUUGAAGCUUAUUCUUAAGUUUAAUAUAAUUGUUUGUCAAAUCAGUUGGGACCUCGGAAAGGAUCAAGGAUAAAUUGAGGUUGUAGUUUUCAGAUAUAUAAAGUUAUUUGUGUAA